Molecule: ribosomal RNA, 372 nt
Filed under: uncultured organism
Description: bacterial SSU rRNA
Rfam family: Bacterial small subunit ribosomal RNA
Source: RNAcentral
CGUAGGGUGCGAGCGUUAAUCGGAAUUACUGGGCGUAAAGCGUGCGCAGGCGGCUUCGCAAGUCAGACGUGAAAUCCCCGGGCUUAACCUGGGAAUGGCGUUUGAAACUACGGAGCUGGAGUGUGGCAGAGGGAGGUAGAAUUCCACGUGUAGCGGUGAAAUGCGUAGAUAUGUGGAGGAAUACCGAUGGCGAAGGCAGCCUCCUGGGCCAACACUGACGCUCAUGCACGAAAGCGUGGGGAGCAAACAGGAUUAGAUACCCUGGUAGUCCACGCCCUAAACUAUGUCAACUAGUUGUUGGGGGAGUUAAAUCCCUUAGUAACGCAGCUAACGCGUGAAGUUGACCGUCUGGGGAGUACGGUCGCAAGAUUA